ACUCCAGGCUCAGUAUUUUCCCCUACAAAACACUGCAUUUCUGAUGAACCCAUAGGUCUCACCACUAAACAUGAGGAAAUGAAGAAGCAUAAGAUUCCAGGUGGAAAAAGGACAUGGUUGAACAAAAGAUGGAGGAAAGAUAAUUUCACAGGAUCCUAGGUUCCAAUUUCUCCACUGACCCAUUGGAUGACCACCAAAUGAGGCAGGUGGAGGAAACAAAACCGCUGGGUUGUUUUGGGGCUUAAGGGGGCAGGUAUCGGGGCGAAUUCAGAUAUUUAAUACUCAGAGACUAUGUGAGCUUAGAAGAUCCAUCAGAGCUGUUAGAGGUUCUACCAAGCAACCAAAGUUGCCAGCUAAGUCCACCACAGGUGGGGAGCAGUGUCCACCAGAAUGAUAAUAGACAGAGAGAAAGUACUGCAGCUGGAAAUGGAGAAAUGGACCUGAGGACUGCUACGAUUCCAGGCAGAAGUAUUGGCUAUAGACUAUAGAAAGGCACCAGUUCUCAGAGCCUAGCAGAGAACCACAUAUAAGGAAAACUUCAUGAGGAUUCAACAAAGGGAGGAAAGGACUCCCACGGCCCAAAAUCUUGAGAUACCACCUCACCAUGGACCUACAGGGUCUCUAUAAAUGUGCCUCACUUUGUCUUUAAAAUUGAUCCACUCUCCCCAAGACCUUGUGUGUGCAAGAGGAAGAGUGUGUCCCAGUUUGAGGGUCUUUUUUUGC
This is a non-coding RNA of Phascolarctos cinereus (koala), 723 nucleotides long. NCBI's taxonomy places the organism in Eukaryota, Metazoa, Chordata, Mammalia, Diprotodontia, Phascolarctidae. The record is from RefSeq and is a predicted model, not a curated record.